GUCCUGUCGGGCGUCUUCACAAGUAACCUGCAUUCAGAGUUUCACGUCGGCCUGGCCGGCGUGGAUAGUCCCGUAUAUGGGGCCUUAGCUCAGCUGGGAGAGCACCUGCUUUGCAAGCAGGGGGUCGUCGGUUCGAUCCCGACAGGCUCCACCACACGUCGCGCCUUUAUCGGCGCGUUCGGCAAUGAGCUAAACGGACAUUGGGUCUGUAGCUCAGGGGGUUAAAGCGCACCCCUGAUAAGGGUGAGGUCGGUAGUUCAAGUCUACCCAAACCCACCACUCUGAAUGACUAGCGCAUACAAAAAAUUUAUUACGCAUCGGCAUUGUGGCCGGUACGUGUUCUUUUAAAACUUGUGACGUACCGAGCGUUUUGA
RNAcentral lists this transfer RNA (374 nucleotides) under Pseudomonas sp. RNAcentral's name for it is "partial contains 16S ribosomal RNA, 16S-23S ribosomal RNA intergenic spacer, and 23S ribosomal RNA". The stretch from base 79 to 151 matches the Rfam family "tRNA". RNAcentral also lists the same sequence under 1 other name. Lineage: Bacteria; Pseudomonadati; Pseudomonadota; Gammaproteobacteria; Pseudomonadales; Pseudomonadaceae. The record is from RNAcentral.